GCACCGCGCCGCGCCGUGCUGCAGGCAGCUCCGCGCCCCCCGCCGGGACAGCGGUGACGGUGUGAGUCUGUGCGCAUCCCCGACUAGUACCGAGCAGGGAUGUCUACAAAGCCCUCUGGGCGUAAACUCACAUGCUGAGCCAUUUUUUACUGCCUUGGCAGAGGACACGGAGACCCUCCCCCAAGUAAAUAAAUAGAUAGAUAGACAAGAUACAUCCGUGCAGGAAAUAAUUUCCGUCCUCCUUUCGAACAAACAUGGGGGAUUCCUUAAAGUCAGUCAAGUCAUCCGCAUUCGCAGAGAAAAGAUCCAGCCGGCUGCAAGGGCAGAGCAUCGUUUGUACUCGGAUUGCAUUGGAAGCACCCGAGCUCCCAUGGCAACCUCGGCUCCUGCUGGAGGGCUUUAUUCCAUGCGCCGCCGUGGAGAGCCCCGUGGCAUCCUUUGCUGUGCGCAUCCUUACCCUUCAGCUUGCAGCGGGGUUUGCCUGCAGCCGGCCGCCACCAGCAGGAGAGGAGUGAGCCACAUAGUGGCACCUACCUACCUCAUCACGGGCAUUUAUGAAGAGGCAUUCAAGAUGCAGUCAAGGCAACCAUGAUGAAGAGCACCGAACAAGUGGGUAACAAGGAUCAUCAUGGCUCAACACAAAAUAAUAUUUUAUAAGGGUACAAGAACAGCUCUUCCACCUUUUGCAGUUUCCCAGUCAUCUUUUAUGGAUGGAAUACCUGAAAACUGAAUGCAAGAGAAUCAGAGAAUUUCAGGAGUUGGAAGGGACAUCAAGAGAUCGAGUACAACUCCCCUUCUAAAGCAGGUUCCCUACAAUAAAUCACACAGGUAGGCACUGAGCUGGGUCUUGAAUAUCUCCAUAGAAGGAAACUCCACAGUGUCUCUAGGCAAGCUGUUCCAGUGCUCCAUCAUCCUUAUCAUAAAGAAGUUCUUCCACAUGUUUGUAUGGAAUUUCUUAUGUUCAAGUUUUAGGCCACUGUUCCUUGUCCUAUCACUACACACCACUGAGCCUGGCCUCAUCCGCUUGCCUCCCACCUCCCUUUAGAUAUUUAUGAAAAAGGAAAAAGGGAAUCCAACUCAGAUGGAGAGUUGAAAUAGCUGUACAGUUAACUUCCUCUGAAACUUCUCCUAUCUGAGAGGGCAGAGCAGAGGGCUUGGGACUGCAAGAUCCAGUGACAUAACUUGUGUAAACCCUGUGCAUUCUGGGCUUUUAGGCUUACUGCAAGAUGCAGGCAGUCUCAUUGAAAACACAUGAAGAAAGCAAGUCUCCACCAAACAACUACCGAAAAGCAAUGGUUGCUCUAGGGCAUUGCCUAAACAGUAUUACUGUCUACUAGCAGUAUUCAAAAUUGGGAAGUAUUUCCCCAGCCUAGCAAAGCACGUAAGCACAUGGUUAAUAACACACAGUGUAAUAGUUCCAGGGACUCCAAUCAAAUUAAGCUAUGUGCUUACAAGCUCUGCUGAACUGGAACCAGAUUGCAUUAGCUUGCUUUAACCUCUCCACAGAUCACAAACACUAAGCUGGAGACACCUGCUUAGAGAACUGGAGGUAACAGAGCGAUGCAGGAGGAGGCAGCGCUCUGACUGUGGCUGCUGUGAUGUGCUGGGCUGAUGCUGAGCCCAGUAUGCAAUUCUGGGCUUCAGCAAACCCAGGAGUUAAUUCAGAUGCUGUACCAUGAUUUGGGGAAAUAAAAUCAAAUUAACCAGAGACCUUGGCCAGGAUAAUUUUCUUGAUAAGAAAUGCUAUGCGUGCAGAAAGAGUGGAACUUCUACAUGUAAAAAGAGUGAGACACAAAGUGAUCUGUUGGCAAUAUCCAACCCUACAAGAGAUGACUGAGGCAAGAUACAGGCUGGUUUAGAGACUGUGAUCAAAGGAGUGACAGCCGCUUCCAAUCUGCAUGAACUUUGUGUUUUGUCACUUGGGGUUUUCUUACAUUAGCAAGGAGUGUUACUGGCACAGCUCAAGCGAGACUAAAAAACCCUGCCACUGCCACUGCUGUUACCCAGUGCUGUCUGUACAAAGACUAUACUGCUUAAUGUCCUUCUUGUUAAUUGAAAUUGGAUUUUUUGUCUGAGAAACG
This is a long non-coding RNA of Gallus gallus (chicken), 2081 nucleotides long. The record is from Ensembl. Lineage: Eukaryota; Metazoa; Chordata; Aves; Galliformes; Phasianidae.